This 450-nucleotide ribosomal RNA is filed under the name uncultured bacterium. RNAcentral's name for it is "bacterial SSU rRNA". It matches the Rfam family "Bacterial small subunit ribosomal RNA", at positions 28 to 507 of the family's 1533-position model. The record is from RNAcentral.
GAUGAACGCUGGCGGCGUGCCUAACACAUGCAAGUCGAGCGAACCCUUCGGGGUGAGCGGCGGACGGGUGAGUAACGCGUGGGUAACCUGCCCUGUACACACGGAUAACAUACCGAAAGGUAUGCUAAUACGAGAUAAUAUAUUUUAAUCGCAUGGUUAAGAUAUCAAAGCUCCGGCGGUACAGGAUGGACCCGCGUCUGAUUAGCUAGUUGGUGAGGUAAUGGCUCACCAAGGCGACGAUCAGUAGCCGACCUGAGAGGGUGAUCGGCCACACUGGAACUGAGACACGGUCCAGACUCCUACGGGAGGCAGCAGUGGGGAAUAUUGCACAAUGGGCGAAAGCCUGAUGCAGCAACGCCGCGUGAGCGAUGAAGGCCUUCGGGUCGUAAAGCUCUGUCCUCAAGGAAGAUAAUGACGGUACUUGAGGAGGAAGCCCCGGCUAACUACGUG